GCUCCGGGCUCGGGGCUCCUCGCGGUGCCCAACGGCCGGGACACGUGUGCCGAGGGGCUGUCUUUAGUUUGCAGGCGUCUAGAGAACGCUGCGGAGGCAACCGAAAUGUGCACCUUAACUCUUUGCUCUUCGGAAUACUGAGCACCGACAAGUGCGAGUGACAGCUGGGGACAUAACCUGGCUCUGCUCACUGUACUGUCGGUCUCUAGGACAGGUUGGCUUUUGUGGAAGAGGUGGCUGGGCUGUGGGGAAGCUGACAGCCACCCUCUGGAGCAUGGAGCGGAAAGCCAUAUCGAGAAUGCGCCAUAUCUCACCAUUAGGAAGUGAAAGCUGCUGCGAAGAAUCCAUAAACAUGAUGUAGAGUUAAUAUUUAACAUCAGAGUAACUUUUAAAAAGCUGUGACUCCAUAUCCAGAUACUGUUUGCAAAUGUAGCUACGCAGAUAAAAGCUGCUUUGAAGUGACUGUAGAUAAAGGCUUUCCUUUUGUCCUGGAAGGCUUCCUGUGUGAGUUGGGUGCUGGGUGUGGAGCUGAGAGGUGGGACAGCCCAACACCCCCAGUGCCAGACCUGGCACCUGUGUGUGUGGGGGAGGCCCCAUGGGGAGCUCGGCCUCAUUUACAUCUAACCUGAGCACCCCAGCCCCAGGCUGUGGAGACACAUUGGGUGUAUGAAGAGUUGUUGCUUUCUGGAUGCUGUUGUUGAGGAGCUUGAGAUCAGUGGUUACUAGAGAGGAAAGUUCAGUUUUGAGGGUGAAACAGCUGGGAAAAUAAAAAUGUAGAAUGCACUGAUGCAUCUCUGAAACUCCACUGGGAGCAAACAGCUACUCCCAUUAGAACAAAGCAGAUGUGAAAUAACUGAACCACAAAUAAAAUCACGACCUUUGGUCCCUUUAUUGCUGCCAUAGAUUCAGCCACUGAACUGCUCUAGCAACACUGAUCUUUUCAGAUUGCAUGCACACCAGGACUGUGUAAGCAUCAAACAUCCUUUGACUCAAAACUUUGAGAACAAAUGCCUUUCUAGACUCAGUCACCUGGAAGCACUGAUGGGCCUUUAAUUGCCCUGAUCAGCCUCACCUGAGCCCUCCUGUUUAUAAACCCAGUAGCAGCUGUUGAGCUUGGAUUUAGGUUUUUAGUUCUUGUGUGAGUGAUGCUGGUGAUGCUUUUGGUACUGAAGGGCCAUGUUCUGCUGUGUGGGGUGCUAUGAGGCAUGUUCUUCCUGGGCUGCUGCUGGAGAGAAUUCUGUAACCCAUCCACCAGAUCAGUUGAAGAAGAAAAUGCAUUUACUGUGCACUGGAGAAGCUGGAUGAGGAAGAGAUGUGGAAAAAGCAAGAAGACAGCUAAGUCUGUGUGGCAGCAUUGUAUAGAGAGAGCAUCAUGAACUGAGCAACAGAACCUGAGGCUCUGAAGACAGCUUAUUUCAUCUGGUUAGAGUGUACCUUUGGGAUGGCAUCCAGUUCAGGAAGGUGACAGAAAAAGUAUGGAGGUA
Coturnix japonica (Japanese quail) is the source of this 1484-nucleotide non-coding RNA. The record is from RefSeq and is a predicted model, not a curated record. NCBI's taxonomy places the organism in Eukaryota, Metazoa, Chordata, Aves, Galliformes, Phasianidae.